RNAcentral lists this long non-coding RNA (1145 nucleotides) under Anas platyrhynchos platyrhynchos (common mallard). RNAcentral describes it as "lncRNA (ENSAPLG00000020829.1)". The record is from RNAcentral. Lineage: Eukaryota; Metazoa; Chordata; Aves; Anseriformes; Anatidae.
GCUCGGCACCUCCAGCUCUGGAAGCGAGUGUCCCGGCCUCGUGCAUCCCCCCCCUUCUCCGUGUCUGCCGAGGGAUGAUGCUUUCCCUGGGUUUUGGGGGGAAAAAAAAAAAAAAAAAAAAAAAAAGGAGAGAGGGAGGGAAGAAAUUUCCAGCCAGAGCUCGGCAGCCAGAGCCAAGUCUGAGCCUCGCAAAUCUCCGGCCCCAUACUUCACGGGUUAAGCGAGCCGAGAGGGCUGUGUGCGCUAAGGUCAACACAGGCUGCACCUGCCCACAGGCUCCUGUGCGCGGCAGCACAAUUGAUGGCUUGUUCCUUUCAUAAGUGCCGUUGGAGCGCGGUGCCCAGGCCCCGAGCCAGCCUGCUGAUCACAUAAAAUAUUAUUUGUGUUUAAAAAUUCCAGUAAUUGACUAUGCACCGUUUUUUUCCAAGCCCGCUGCCAAGGGCAGUAAAAUCAAAAUCCGUCCCAGGUUAUUUUCAUCAUGCAAAUUCCCAUUUCUGUAAACAGGAGUAAAAGCGGCAAGACCCAUUGCCUGCAGCCGCCAGCCUGGGCCGGCGGCCAGCGUGCGGCGGGGAGCGCGCCGGGGCCGGCGGCCGGAGCAGGGGGAGCAGGAACAGCCCCGCAAGCCGCCAGCCCUGCUGCAUGGUCUGGAGAAGCACUUUUUGAUGCGUUUGGUGCAAAAAAAGCCAGUUACGGAGCUGCAGGAUCCGCACCAAAGGCUGAGUGCCAUCGAGGAAAGCUCUGGAUCCGACCGGGAACGGAGGCAGUGAUGGAGGAGAAGAUGCUGCUCCUGGAGUUUUGCCUGCUGGGCCCUUCUUUGGUCAGGGUCCCACUCCUCACUUACGUGACUCGUCUCAUGGCAGAGGAGAUGACUGCUCGCCUGCGUUGUUUAUACGACGGCAGUGACUAACAGGCUCAGCUCGGCAAUUGCAGGAGGCUUUGUACAAACAAGGAGAUGAGAGGCAGAGGGGAGGGAUCGGGGCUUGAAACACCAGCUGUAAACACAACACGUUUCAAGCAAAGACAACUCGUGGCAGGGUGAACCAAACUAACAAAUGUCGCAAGAGCGGAGCAACAGGGAGGGCGACGCGCACCCGUGUGCCGGCGCAGAGCUGAGCUUUCACAAUAAAUGAUUAAAGCAUGGUUCA